This 594-nucleotide ribosomal RNA is filed under the name Alternaria alternata. RNAcentral describes it as "eukaryotic LSU rRNA". The stretch from base 219 to 372 matches the Rfam family "5.8S ribosomal RNA". Lineage: Eukaryota; Fungi; Ascomycota; Dothideomycetes; Pleosporales; Pleosporaceae. The record is from RNAcentral.
UCCGUAGGUGAACCUGCGGAACUUCCGUAGGUGAACCUGCGGAGGGAUCAUUACACAAAUAUGAAGGCGGGCUGGAACCUCUCGGGGUUACAGCCUUGCUGAAUUAUUCACCCUUGUCUUUUGCGUACUUCUUGUUUCCUUGGUGGGUUCGCCCACCACUAGGACAAACAUAAACCUUUUGUAAUUGCAAUCAGCGUCAGUAACAAAUUAAUAAUUACAACUUUCAACAACGGAUCUCUUGGUUCUGGCAUCGAUGAAGAACGCAGCGAAAUGCGAUAAGUAGUGUGAAUUGCAGAAUUCAGUGAAUCAUCGAAUCUUUGAACGCACAUUGCGCCCUUUGGUAUUCCAAAGGGCAUGCCUGUUCGAGCGUCAUUUGUACCCUCAAGCUUUGCUUGGUGUUGGGCGUCUUGUCUCUAGCUUUGCUGGAGACUCGCCUUAAAGUAAUUGGCAGCCGGCCUACUGGUUUCGGAGCGCAGCACAAGUCGCACUCUCUAUCAGCAAAGGUCUAGCAUCCAUUAAGCCUUUUUUUCAACUUUUGACCUCGGAUCAGGUAGGGMUACCCGCWGAACUUAAGCAUAUCAAUAAGCGGAGGAA